CCUACGGGCGGCAGCAGUGGGGGAUAUUGCACAAUGGGGGAAACCCUGAUGCAGCGACGCCGCGUGUGGGAAGACGGUCUUCUGGAUUGUAAACCACUGUCCCCAGGGACGAAAAUGACGGUACCUGGGGAGGAAGCUCCGGCUAACUACGUGCCAGCAGCCGCGGUAAUACGUAGGGAGCAAGCGUUGUCCGGAAUUACUGGGUGAAAAGGGAGCGUAGGCGGGGAUGCAAGUUGGUUGGCAAAACUACCGGCUAAACAGAGAGUCGCACUCAAAACUGCAACUCUUGAGUGAAGUAGAGGCAGGCGGAAUUCCUAGUGUAGCGGUGAAAUGCGUAGAUAUUAGGAGGAACACCAGUGGCGAAGGCGGCCUGCUGGGCUUUUACUGACGCUGAGGCUCGAAAGUGUGGGGAGCAAACAGGAUUAGAUACCCUGGUAGUC
RNAcentral lists this ribosomal RNA (440 nucleotides) under uncultured bacterium. RNAcentral describes it as "partial 16S ribosomal RNA". It matches the Rfam family "Bacterial small subunit ribosomal RNA", at positions 338 to 795 of the family's 1533-position model. The record is from RNAcentral.